This 480-nucleotide ribosomal RNA is filed under the name uncultured bacterium. RNAcentral describes it as "partial 16S ribosomal RNA". It matches the Rfam family "Bacterial small subunit ribosomal RNA", at positions 28 to 507 of the family's 1533-position model. The record is from RNAcentral.
GACGAACGCUGGCGGCGUGCUUAACACAUGCAAGUUGAACGAGAAUUUUUCGAGUGAUUUCUUCGGAAUGAUCAUGAAAACGGAAAGUAGCGAACGGGUGAGUAACACGUGAGAAACCUGCCUUUCACAAAGGGAUAGCCUAGGGAAACCGGGAUUAAUACCUUAUGAAACCAAACACUCGCAUGAGAGAUUGGUUAAAGAUUUAUCGGUGUUAGAUGGUCUCGCGUCUGAUUAGCUAGUUGGUGGGAUAAAAGCCUACCAAGGCAACGAUCAGUAGCCGGAUUGAGAGGCUGAACGGCCACACUGGAACUGAGACACGGUCCAGACUCCUACGGGAGGCAGCAGUGGGGAAUUUUGCACAAUGGAGGAAACUCUGAUGCAGCGACGCCGCGUGAGUGAUGAAGGUCUUCGGAUUGUAAAACUCUGUCCUUAGUGAAGAUAAUGACAGUAACUAAGAAGCAAGCCCUGGCUAAAUACGUG